ACAUCCAGAGAACUUAGCAGAGAUGCUUUGGUGCCUUCGGGAACUCUGAGACAGGUGCUGCGUGGCUGUCGUCAGCUCGUGUUGUGAAAUGUUGGGUUAAGUCCCGCAACGAGCGCAACCCUUAUCUUUUGUGCCAGCGGCUCGGCCGGGAACUCAAAGGAGACUGCCGGUGAUAAACCGGAGGAAGGUGGGGAUGACGUCAAGUCAUCAUGGCCCUUACGGCCAGGGCUACACACGUGCUACAAUGGCGCAUACAAAGAGAAGCGACCUCGCGAGAGCAAGCGGACCUCACAAAGUGCGUCGUAGUCCGGAUUGGAGUCUGCAACUCGACUCCAUGAAGUCGGAAUCGCUAGUAAUCGUAGAUCAGAAUGCUACGGUGAAUACGUUCCCGGGCCUUGUACACACCGCCCGUCACACCAUGGGAGUGGGUUGCAAAAGAAGUAGGUAGCUUAACCUUCGGGAGGGCGCUUACCACUUUGUGAUUCAUGACUGGGGUGAAGUCGUAACAAGGUAAGCGUAGCGAG
This 524-nucleotide ribosomal RNA is filed under the name uncultured bacterium. RNAcentral's name for it is "bacterial SSU rRNA". It matches the Rfam family "Bacterial small subunit ribosomal RNA", at positions 984 to 1509 of the family's 1533-position model. The record is from RNAcentral.